GACGAACGCUGGCGGCGUGCUUAACACAUGCAAGUCGAACGGAAAGGCCCUGCUUUUGUGGGGUGCUCGAGUGGCGAACGGGUGAGUAACACGUGAGUAACCUGCCCUUGACUUUGGGAUAACUUCAGGAAACUGGGGCUAAUACCGGAUAGGAGCUCCUGCUGCAUGGUGGGGGUUGGAAAGUUUCGGCGGUUGGGGAUGGACUCGCGGCUUAUCAGCUUGUUGGUGGGGUAGUGGCUUACCAAGGCUUUGACGGGUAGCCGGCCUGAGAGGGUGACCGGCCACAUGGGGACUAAGAUACGGCCCAGACUCCUACGGGAGGCAGCAGUGGGGAAUAUUGCACAAUGGGCGGAAGCCUGAUGCAGCAACGCCGCGUGCGGGAUGACGGCCUUCGGGUUGUAAACCGCUUUCGCCUGUGACGAAGCGUGAGUGACGGUAAUGGGUAAAGAAGCACCGGCUAACUACGUG
This 468-nucleotide ribosomal RNA is filed under the name uncultured bacterium. RNAcentral describes it as "partial 16S ribosomal RNA". It matches the Rfam family "Bacterial small subunit ribosomal RNA", at positions 28 to 507 of the family's 1533-position model. The record is from RNAcentral.